AGCAAUAUGGCUGAAGUUGUCUAGCAAAGUUACUUUGUUAUUUUGUUGUAUUUUAAAAUAAGGAUCUUAAUGUGAAUGUGAAUGGGUCUACCCUACAGAAGGGCGGAUAGCUAACCUCCUCCGUCUUUAUCGCUCAGGGGAAUUCCUUGCACCUGUACUGGAGAACCUGUUGACUGACUGUUGGGCACUCCUGGUCAAUAAUACACAAUUCCCUCAGGACUUCAUCUGAUUCCCACAC
Mastomys coucha (southern multimammate mouse) is the source of this 238-nucleotide long non-coding RNA. RefSeq lists it as uncharacterized. The transcript is spliced from 3 exons. The record is from RefSeq and is a predicted model, not a curated record. NCBI's taxonomy places the organism in Eukaryota, Metazoa, Chordata, Mammalia, Rodentia, Muridae.